Acanthosepion pharaonis is the source of this 101-nucleotide non-coding RNA. NCBI's taxonomy places the organism in Eukaryota, Metazoa, Mollusca, Cephalopoda, Sepiida, Sepiidae. The record is from the annotation of a GenBank genome assembly.
UACGGCCGUAUGACGUUGAAACACCGGUUCUCGUACGAUCACCGAAGUUAAGCAACGUCGAGCCUGGUCAGAACCAAGAUUGGUGACCGCUUGGGAAUACA